Salarias fasciatus (jewelled blenny) is the source of this 486-nucleotide long non-coding RNA. RefSeq lists it as uncharacterized. The transcript has 4 exons. The record is from RefSeq and is a predicted model, not a curated record. Lineage: Eukaryota; Metazoa; Chordata; Actinopteri; Blenniiformes; Blenniidae.
CUCAACUAACAUACAGUAAUUGAGUGAAUGGAUUGGACAAGUUUUGCAUUUGUUGACUGAACAAAUGUGGGCGGCGUCAUUUGCGGUAAUGAACUUCGAGCAAAGGAAGUACGGCAAAGCCACAAAGUUUGUCGACACGGCCUCACGGAGGGACGAGGAGUGACAGAUGAAAGGAGGUCGUUGCUGAAGAUGUGCAUGUCUCCACAAUCAGCCAGAGAUGGCCAGCCCUAUUCUUGUUGGAUCAGGUACAUGCAGAAUUCAAAAGAGUAACAGGAAAAGAAUUGAUGGAAACGUUCUUCCCCUCCUUGGAUGAGCACACCAGAGCUCCGCACCGCAGCUCACCACCCCACUCAAGUGACACUAAGGAGUCUGUUGGAGUACCGAGACGAGCAGACCACAGAGAUCGUUAAACAUCGGAGGGUGGUGGCUGUCAAAGGGCUGCAGUAUUACCUGGGGGAGAAAACCGAGCUUUUCAACACCUGCCAG